Long non-coding RNA from Mastomys coucha (southern multimammate mouse), 696 nucleotides. RefSeq lists it as uncharacterized. The record is from RefSeq and is a predicted model, not a curated record. NCBI's taxonomy places the organism in Eukaryota, Metazoa, Chordata, Mammalia, Rodentia, Muridae. The transcript is spliced from 2 exons.
AACACUCCCCAAAGAUUCAUUUGACCCCAGCACCAAACUCCAUUAAGGCCCCCAGACACAUGCCGCCAGCCAGGGAGUGAUUUAGAACCCACCGUCAUACUCCGUUCCUCUGGUUAAAGCAAUGGCUGGCCAAGAGGGCAGACAACAUCGCCAAAUACAGAAAGGAAGGAAGAAGUGGGAACGGAGAGGAAGAGGACCUUGAGGGGGAAGCAUGAAUGGAGGGCCAUCUCCCAAGGCAAGAGCGGGGAGCACAGCCAUGCCCCUAGCUCUAGUUGGUCACUUCCAAGCACUGCCAUCCCCAAGGAGAGCAAAAUUAGGAGCUGAGGUGAGAAAAGUCCUGGUAAAGCCACUGCCACAUCAUCCGACUCCACAAAAUGACACAUAGGACACCACUUUUUGUUACCGUGGAAGACCUGGGAAAGAGGUGGCCGGCCAGCAACAGCAGACUCAGCCCAAAGCCCUGGCUCAGCCCAUGACAAAGCUUCAGGAACCCUCCUCGUAGUCUGCCUGCAGUUGGCCCAGCUUAUCACAAGGCAAACGGCAGCCUGACUGUGUCUCUGAAUGGCAUAUCAAGGAGAGAGCACUCCACGGGGAGCUAGCCGAGGACUCAAUGGUUAUCUUGUGCCAUUUGGGCCCCUGUGUUUUACAGCUUGUCACAUUAAACAGGAUGAUGCACAUAAAGUGCUAAGCACCAUG